This 423-nucleotide ribosomal RNA is filed under the name uncultured bacterium. RNAcentral describes it as "bacterial SSU rRNA". It matches the Rfam family "Bacterial small subunit ribosomal RNA", at positions 359 to 773 of the family's 1533-position model. The record is from RNAcentral.
GAAUCUUGCACAAUGGGCGGAAGCCUGAUGCAGCGACGCCGCGUGGGGGACGAAUGCCUUCGGGUUGUAAACCCCUGUUGAUCGGGACGAAUGCCCGUACAUUAAUAGUGUGCGGGUUAUGCCGGUCCCGGUUGAGGAAGCCCCGGCUAACUACGUGCCGUCCGCCGCGGUAGUACGUAGGGGGCGAGCGUUGUCCGGAAUUACUGGGCGUAAAGGGCGUGUAGGCGGCCUUGCAAGUCUGUGGUGAAAGCCCACGGCUCAACCGUGGGAUUGCCAUGGAAACUGCGGGGCUUGAGGUCAGGAGAGGAGAGCGGAAUUCCCGGUGUAGCGGUGGAAUGCGUAGAUAUCGGGAGGAACACCAGUGGCGAAGGCGGCUCUCUGGCCUGUCUCUGACGCUGAGGCGCGAAAGCGUGGGGAGCAAAC